UCAGGCCUAACACAUGCAAGUCGAACGGCGGCACGGGUGCUUGCACCUGGUGGCGAGUGGCGAACGGGUGAGUAAUAUAUCGGAACGUGCCCUAGAGUGGGGGAUAACGUAGCGAAAGUUACGCUAAUACCGCAUACGAUCUACGGACGAAAGUGGGGGACCGCAAGGCCUCACGCUCCUGGAGCGGCCGAUAUCUGAUUAGCUAGUUGGUGGGGUAAAAGCCUACCAAGGCGACGAUCAGUAGCUGGUCUGAGAGGACGACCAGCCACACUGGGACUGAGACACGGCCCAGACUCCUACGGGAGGCAGCAGUGGGGAAUUUUGGACGAUGGGGGCAACCCUGAUCCAGCAAGGCCGCGUGUGUGAAGAAGGCCUUCGGGUUGUAAAGCAAUGGGUCAGGAACGAAACGGUGGGGGCUAAUAUCCUCUGCAAUGAC
RNAcentral lists this ribosomal RNA (436 nucleotides) under uncultured bacterium. RNAcentral's name for it is "bacterial SSU rRNA". It matches the Rfam family "Bacterial small subunit ribosomal RNA", at positions 43 to 473 of the family's 1533-position model. The record is from RNAcentral.